Molecule: ribosomal RNA, 279 nt
Filed under: uncultured bacterium
Lineage: Bacteria
Description: partial 16S ribosomal RNA
Rfam family: Bacterial small subunit ribosomal RNA
Source: RNAcentral
UACGGAGGGUGCAAGCGUUAAUCGGAAUUACUGGGCGUAAAGCGCACGCAGGCGGUUGGAUAAGUUAGAUGUGAAAGCCCCCGGGCUCAACCUGGGAAGUUGCAUUUAAAACUUAGUCCAGCUAGAGUCUUGUAGAGGGGGUAGGAAUUACCAGGUGUAGCGGUGAAAUAGCGUAGAGAUCUGGAGGAAUACCGGUGGCGAAGGCGGCCCCCUCGGACAAAGAACUGACGCUCAGGUGCGAAAGCGUGGGGAGCAAACAGGAUUAGAUACCCGCGUAGU